This 612-nucleotide long non-coding RNA is filed under the name Felis catus (domestic cat). Its description in RNAcentral is "lncRNA (ENSFCAG00000042050.2)". Lineage: Eukaryota; Metazoa; Chordata; Mammalia; Carnivora; Felidae. The record is from RNAcentral.
CUGGAUUCUUGGGAAGAAUAGAGUCCAGUCAUAUCUGGAGAUCAGGUUGGGUUUGACAUCUAAGAAAGCUUGGGUCUUCCAUCUAACUUCUCUAUCCUUCAAUCUUUUCUAUGAUACCGCCCUUCCAGAAGUCCUCUAUGUAGAUGCCAACCUUGGUGUUGCUGAAUGAAUCCACAGCCCUGAGGAGCUGAAAUUCUAGGCACAGGCCUAGUUGCAACUGCUUCUGAUGGGAGUUUAUGUGUAUCUCAGAGGAGAAGUCUUAUGAACUUGGGUUUGAUAUGCCCAGAAAUGGAUCCAUAGCAACUUCCAGGAGAAGAUAGUCACACCAGACAAUUGAACCAAUUUUUGGUGGUUGCACCUGGACACUGAAGCCACCGUUUUCCAGAUUGUUUGCUUGGUUGUUUCCUCUGCCGGAUAUCUAUGUUUAUUGCUCUACCCUGAGGCUCAUCAUCUCAGGAAUCAGUGAAAUGUUUCCAAGAGUGGAUGGAACAGAUGUUGGGCAUGAGGCUGAGACACGCCCUGGAAGGUAACUAAAAGUCGAAUUAGCUUUAUUUUUUUGUUUGCUUUGCCUCGUUAUUUUAAAAGUUGUAUGUAAAAGAACUCUACUUAAUU